AGGAAGUGUUUUGGUUACACAAGGCGGAAGCGUCUAAUUUACUGAAGCUGAAAGUGUUUUAAGGGAAAAGCAUAAAACGUCGUUAACGAGGAACGACACCGCCACAACUCCCUGUUUACAGGACGGAGUGGACGUUGUUUUUCGCUGCAACCGGGGUCAGUCCUCUGCUGUUCGGGCCCAUCUGGUUUUUGACAUCAGGAGUUUGAUCUCUGACCUCACUUACCGUCGGUGCCUGUGUUUCCAGAGCCCUCUCCCGUCUUCACACCUCGCCGACCUGUAGUUUCCGACCAUCUCAUCCAUAACGGUCUCUGUCUGUCAAUGGCUGGGCGUGGUGGAGGAGCGAGCAGGCCUAAUGGUGCUGCAGCAACAAAUAAAAUCUGCCAGUUCAAACUGGUGCUGCUGGGGGAGUCGGCGGUGGGCAAGUCCAGCUUAGUGCUGCGCUUCGUCAAAGGCCAGUUCCAUGAAUUCCAGGAGAGCACCAUCGGAGCUGCCUUCCUUACUCAGACUGUCUGCCUGGACGACACCACUGUGAAGUUUGAGAUCUGGGACACAGCAGGUCAGGAGCGCUACCACAGCCUGGCUCCGAUGUACUACAGAGGCGCUCAGGCGGCCAUCGUGGUCUAUGACAUCACCAACACAGACACUUUUGCACGUGCAAAAAACUGGGUGAAGGAGCUUCAAAGACAAGCCAGCCCCAACAUAGUGAUCGCUCUGGCUGGCAACAAGGCGGACAUCGCCAACAAGAGAGCCGUAGAUCUUCAGGAGGCACAAACGUAUGCCGAUGACAACAGUCUACUUUUUAUGGAGACCUCAGCCAAGACUGCCAUGAAUGUCAAUGAAAUUUUCAUGGCUAUUGCAAAGAAGCUACCGAAGAACGAUCCUCAGGGCGGAGCUGGACAAGGCGGGCGGACGAAGACGGGAGUGGAUCUACAAGAAGCCAGCCCUCAGGGCCGCAGCAGCCAGUGCUGCGGCGGCGGCGGCGGCGGCAACUAGCAAGUACAACACAGUGAACUUAGUGAACGAGCCCUGAACAUCAUUUAAAGGACAUCACGUAGCUAAAACCCAGAGAGGCAGGAGAGGGCAGAGCCACUCGCCAGCUCCUGCUCUUAAACUGAGAUUACAGAUGAGAUUAUCUGGAUCCUCUUUGAUUAAAGGAACUUUUUUUUAAAAGAAUCAUAAGCUAGAGGGAAUUCCCAAGAUCCCUCACUACUUCUCUUCUGUCUUUCCCCCCCUCCUCCCUGUGUGUCUGUCUGCCUCCCUGUUCAUCUUCAGCCUCUGUCUCAGUUGAUUGAAUACUGUUUUAAAUGAACUCUUUGAAGCGUGAUGCUGAGGUUGUUUGCCAUUUCCCCUGUUUGUUUGAGCGCGUGUGUGUGUGUGUGUGUGUGUGUGUGUGUGUGUGUAUAAGCAGCACACACAGAUGCACACAUACACACAUUUUGUACUCUCAUCAUGUCCCUCUACGUUGAUCUUUACAGAAGAUACAAACACCCAACUAUUAGUGAUGCUGAAACGGCAGAGCGAUGAAGCUUUUGGUCUUGUUGGCCCCGUUAACAGCCGGUAUUAACAUGUGAUGAGUUGUCUGGAUAACGACGUCUGGAGCUUCGCUUUUACACCGAGUAGAGAAAAAUGUAUUGUCAUUAUCUGCCCGUACUCUCAGGAUGCAAACAGGUGCUAGCUGGUGAACUUGUGAGUUAAUGCGAGGACGGCAACAAAUGGACUUUAUUCAUUAACGUGUCAGCUUGCAGUUGAAGCUCGACCACCUCGAAAUGCAUCCUGACUUAUCUGAUUACACACACAGACUGUAUAAAAGAUGGACGUAGCUACGGUGACGUCACCCGUUGGUUUCUGCACUGAGAAAAUUAAGCCAGG
RNA transcript from Stegastes partitus (bicolor damselfish), 1869 nucleotides. It is a transcript of the gene named ras-related protein Rab-5C-like, with no coding region annotated. NCBI's taxonomy places the organism in Eukaryota, Metazoa, Chordata, Actinopteri, Pomacentridae. The record is from RefSeq and is a predicted model, not a curated record. The transcript has 7 exons.